RNAcentral lists this non-coding RNA (31 nucleotides) under Mus musculus (house mouse). Lineage: Eukaryota; Metazoa; Chordata; Mammalia; Rodentia; Muridae. The record is from RNAcentral.
UGGAACAAUUUCUGUAAAUUUCCUGGGUAAC